GAGUUUGAUCCUGGCUCAGAUUGAACGCUGGCGGCAGGCCUAACACAUGCAAGUCGAACGGUAACAGGAAGAAGCUUGCUUCUUUGCUGACGAGUGGCGGACGGGUGAGUAAUGUCUGGGAAACUGCCUGAUGGAGGGGGAUAACUACUGGAAACGGUGGCUAAUACCGCAUAACGUCGCAAGACCAAAGAGGGGGACCUUCGGGCCUCUUGCCAUCGGAUGUGCCCAGAUGGGAUUAGCUAGUAGGUGGGGUAACGGCUCACCUAGGCGACGAUCCCUAGCUGGUCUGAGAGGAUGACCAGCCACACUGGAACUGAGACACGGUCCAGACUCCUACGGGAGGCAGCAGUGGGGAAUAUUGCACAAUGGGCGCAAGCCUGAUGCAGCCAUGCCGCGUGUAUGAAGAAGGCCUUCGGGUUGUAAAGUACUUUCAGCGGGGAGGAAGGGAGUAAAGUUAAUACCUUUGCUCAUUGACGUUAC
RNAcentral lists this ribosomal RNA (480 nucleotides) under uncultured bacterium. Its description in RNAcentral is "bacterial SSU rRNA". It matches the Rfam family "Bacterial small subunit ribosomal RNA", at positions 9 to 478 of the family's 1533-position model. The record is from RNAcentral.